UUUCCGUAGGUGAACCUGCGGAAGGAUCAUUAACGAGUAAGGGUCAUCCUAGCCCUUCCUCCAACCCUUUGCUUAUUUACUAGGUUGCUUUGGCCGGCCCGUUUCACCACCGCCCGAACUCCUCGGACUUCUCGCCCGUGCCCGCCCAUAGCCUUCUACAAACUCUUGAUCAAUUGUGUUGUCAAAGUAAUAAAUUUAAUAGCUAAAACUUUCAACAACGGAGCUCUUGGUUAUGGCCUCGACGAACAACGCAGCACACCGGCAGAGCACACGUCU
This 276-nucleotide unclassified non-coding RNA is filed under the name plant metagenome. Its description in RNAcentral is "partial contains small subunit ribosomal RNA, internal transcribed spacer 1, and 5.8S ribosomal RNA". The record is from RNAcentral.